AGCCUCUGCCCUUCCUGGGGCGUUUCCUCCCUACUUAUUUCAGCCCGGCUUUUCGCCGGGCUUUUCUUUUGGCGGU
Molecule: small RNA, 76 nt
Filed under: Caulobacter vibrioides CB15
Lineage: Bacteria; Pseudomonadati; Pseudomonadota; Alphaproteobacteria; Caulobacterales; Caulobacteraceae
Also listed under: 1 other name
Description: Caulobacter crescentus CB15 Makes More Granules Regulator RNA (mmgR)
Rfam family: Makes More Granules Regulator RNA (mmgR)
About the family: SuhB later renamed mmgR (makes more granules regulator) was a putative non-coding RNA found multiple times in the Agrobacterium tumefaciens genome and related alpha-proteobacteria.
Source: Rfam by way of RNAcentral